This 279-nucleotide ribosomal RNA is filed under the name uncultured bacterium. RNAcentral's name for it is "partial 16S ribosomal RNA". It matches the Rfam family "Bacterial small subunit ribosomal RNA", at positions 506 to 784 of the family's 1533-position model. The record is from RNAcentral.
UGCCAGCCGCCGCGGUAAUACGGAGGGCGCAAGCGUUGUUCGGAAUCAUUGGGCGUAAAGCGCGUGUAGGCGGCUUGGCAAGUCGGACGUGAAAGCCCGGGGCUCAACCCCGGAACUGCGCUCGAAACUGCCUCGCUAGAGUCCCGGAGAGGAGGGCGGAAUUCCCGGUGUAGAGGUGAAAUUCGUAGAUAUCGGGAGGAACACCAGCGGCGAAGGCGGCCCUCUGGACGGUGACUGACGCUCAGACGCGAAAGCGUGGGGAGCAAACAGGAUUAGAUA